RNAcentral lists this ribosomal RNA (460 nucleotides) under uncultured bacterium. Its description in RNAcentral is "partial 16S ribosomal RNA". It matches the Rfam family "Bacterial small subunit ribosomal RNA", at positions 338 to 795 of the family's 1533-position model. The record is from RNAcentral.
CCUACGGGGGGCAGCAGUGAGGAAUAUUGGUCAAUGGACGGAAGUCUGAACCAGCCAAGCCGCGUGAAGGAAGACGGCACUAUGAGUUGUAAACUGCUUUUGUACAAGGAUAAACCUGAAUACGUGUAUUCAGCUGAAAGUACUGUACGAAAAAGGAUCGGCUAACUCCGUGCCAGCAGCCGCGGUAAUACGGAGGAUCCAAGCGUUAUCCGGAUUUAUUGGGUUUAAAGGGUGCGUAGGCGGAUUGAUAAGUUAGCGGUGAAAUGUCCGGGCUUAACUCGGGAACUGCCUUUAAUACUGUUGAUAUAGAGAGUAGGAGCGGUAGGCGGAAUGUGUGGUGUAGCGGUGAAAUGCUUAGAGAUCAUGCAGAACACCGAUUGCGAAGGCAGCUUACCAAUCUCUCUCUGACGCUGAGGCACGAAAGCGUGGGGAGCAAACAGGAUUAGAUACCCCAGUAGUC